UACGAAGGGGGCGAGCGUUGUUCGGAUUUACUGGGCGUAAAGGGCGCGCAGGCGGCUUAUUUUGUCAGGCGUGAAAGCCCCGGGCUUAACCUGGGAACUGCGUUUGAUACGGAUGGGCUAGAGUUCGGGAGAGGAGCGUGGAAUUCCCAGUGUAGAGGUGAAAUCGUAGAUAUUGGGAAGAACACCGGUGGCGAAGGCGGCGUCUGGACCGAGACUGACGCUGAGGCGCGAAAGCGUGGGGAAGCAAACAGGG
Molecule: ribosomal RNA, 253 nt
Filed under: uncultured bacterium
Lineage: Bacteria
Description: partial 16S ribosomal RNA
Rfam family: Bacterial small subunit ribosomal RNA
Source: RNAcentral